Molecule: long non-coding RNA, 2339 nt
Filed under: Eucalyptus grandis
Lineage: Eukaryota; Viridiplantae; Streptophyta; Magnoliopsida; Myrtales; Myrtaceae
Description: long non-coding RNA (EGRA_LNC004344)
Source: RNAcentral
GGAUACGAAUGCAUAAACAAACAUGCUUUUAUAUUUACACUGAGUCAUGUACAAAAGCUUAUGGCCAAAAGACUACAAAAGACUAGCCUUCCAAAAAGAAGCGAUCCUAACUGACCUACGCUUUCGAUCACCUCCUCUCAGCUCCAGGUCCUCCACUCGAUGACCCUGAAAAUGUUGUCCCACAACGGGGUGAGAUAUCAUCUUGGCAAGUCUAAGCUCUAAACCUCAAUUAGGAGGGAAAUACGCCUAGAGGUGUCCUAAUCACAAUCACACAUUCAAUGAGACUUACCUUGUCUCAGAUCCACCCUGUAGGUCAGUACAAUUUAUAUCACAGACAACAUGAGAGCAUGAGCAACAAUAAGCUCCAAAUAACUGAAAUGCCACACUUAAUUAAGUAUGCGCUCUUAGUUUUGAUCUCGGCAUAUAGCACGGCCUACUCUCAAUUCAGCGGUCUUCUGGCAUUACAAGGCAUCGUCUCACCGCAUUGAGCACGGCACGUCUCUUUAUCAGACGGCUUUCCCUAAUGAGCAUAGGGUCCAGAAUCUACUGCGACCGGCUUCCCGUUGUCUAGGGGGUAUCCCAAAUAAGGAUAACGUCCAGCUCAACAGCCCGGGACGAUUUCUCUUAACCAACACACGAUUACUCAAAUAUGGCCCAGGGCACCAUGCAUUGCACUCAAAUGCUUCAAUUAAAAUGGUGAGCCUGGCAUUUUUCUUCGUAUUAGAAAUUCACAUGAAAUUACUUCUGUGUGGGUACACGGUCAACUUGACCCAGAAAAAUUGAUAUUCUUCAUUUUUGAAAACCCACUAUUUCGUAUAGUACUAAAAACUAUUUUCGGUGUCAAAACCCGACACCCGGGAUUUUCUGAAUAAAUAUUGGAAAUUCACAAUUUUUGGAAUUAAAUACCAAAAAUCCAAUAAGCACUCAAUUUGCAUAAUUUAACACUCAAUUGCAGAAAUUAACCACACCAUUGCAAUCGGCACGAAAUUCCGGUCACCGGCUAUCCUGGCCUAAUUUCCGGAAAAAUAAUUAUUUAUUAAUUAAUUUCGAAAUUUAAUUAAUUAAUUCAAUUUAAUUUCUAAAAAUACUAAUCUAUGCCAAAAUUAUUAAAUUAAAUACCAAUACGGACUCGGAAAAUUCCCGAACCCUUCUAGAUAAACAGUACAAUUUAUUUAGGCAUUAGCUAAACCAUGCUAACCACCUAACAUGCUGAAUUAAAUAAUUACAUUUCUAAUUUAAUCUAACUAACCACCUAAUUCCUAAUAAAAUAAAUCUAAACACCUCUUAAACGUCAUUAGCCUACUAAGCAGAGUUUAGAGUAUAAACUCACCGGUGUAUUGCGAAAACCAGUUCACCGCAACGACGACGCGACGGCAGCCGAAACCUUAAUUUUCAGCGGUGUCGGCGAACUCUCAGACUGGGCCUAAAACUUGGCCCAACAAAUCUAAGCCCAAAUCUAAGAUUUGUUUCCAACUUGGGCUGGGCUUCACUUGAUUCGCGGGCUGAACUUCGGUGGACUUGGGCUUCAAUUGACUUGCUGAAUUGGGCUGAAGACCCAAUUAAUUGGACUGUUCUCUUGGGCUGCUGAUGGACUUCAAAUGGGCUGGCGUUGCGUGAAGAUGGGCUGCAGAAAGAUGGCAACUUGCUGGGCCGUUGAUGUGGACUGAGCUUCGGUGAUGUUGGGCCUGACUCGGUGAAAUGAAGCCAUGCGAAAGUGGGCAAGGGAAACGCGAGGCAGCUUCGGUCUUCGCUGCUGGAUCCGCGGACGUGAGAGGUGGCAGCUGAGACGUUGCUGGCGCGAGCGAGCUGGCCGUUUGCUCGAUGAAGACACACGGCAGUAGGGUCAACAAGCAGGAACUCAGCUGACUUCGGUGGGCUUUGGAGAUGGCAGCGCGGCAAGACCGAAACUGUUUCGGUGGAGAAGCUGGUCGAACGGAUUGCUGGCUUCGCUGGCGAGCUGGUGGAGAAGACACGAGGAGGGGCAGAAAACGUGGACUACUGCGGUCAGUUAUGGGAAAGAUGAGCUGAUUUGUUGACUCAUGUGCUGGCGUCGAUGGAAGCAGACAGAGAAGCAGCUUCGGCCACUUGCUGGAACGUGGAGCUUACCGAAGAAAAUGAAGAAGACGGACGUGUGGCGCGGGCGUGGGCUACAAGCGGUCAACUACUGGGCUUCGCGGGCUUAAAGGUUGACCAAGAGCUGCUGGUAGAGGGACAAGUGGCGAGGAUGAGGGGAAUUCGUUGGAUGGGCAGGCGUUUUCGGUGUGGGUGUCGUUGCAGAGAAGACCGAAAUGCAGAAGCUGAACAAUGAAAAUGAAAGUGAAGUAGCACACGGACGAGAA